CAGCAAUUUUUCUUGAUAACAUCUCAAACCAAUCAGCAGAACCAUUCUCUGAAGACCCAGAAGCAAAAUAAUCCUUUUCAACUUUUUUCUCUACCUUCCUCUUCUUUUUUUGACCUCUAACAGGACCCAUCACUCAAUUGAAUCAAAAUCAAGAAACCCCACUUGCUUCAAACAACCAAAAUCACAGCAACUUCAAUGAAUUCAAAGAUAACACAAACCCCAUUUCUUGCAAAUACCAAAAAAAAACACAACGAAAGAUCAUAAAUUCAUAAUCAUAUACAAGAUAAACAAAAAACAUGCAAAACUACAUAUGCAAAUAGAAAAAUAAAUAAAAUUAACUCACCCCAUUUCUUGAUGCCAAUGGUUUGUGUUUUUGUUGAGUGGCUUUCUUGAAAUGUUUCAAAGCAUGCAAAGUGUAUAUUGUCAAAGAAAAAAGAAGUGUCUACAUAUUGCAGGUGUGUGAAAGCUAGCCCGAAUACAGUGGUUAAGUGACUAUUGUGGGUUUUGACAUAAAAAAAUGGACACACUAUAGAUAGGAAGAAUGCUUUAUGGGAAAAUUAAUGUAACAAGAAAACAAUAUAGAGGUUUUGUUGUGUUUGUAUUUCCUUAAAAAGACAAUGUGAAAGACAUGAAAAUGGUGGAGACUGUCUUUACAAUGGUCAAUACUCAGAGAUUUAAGAGAGAAACUAACGGGGCUUGUAAAAGGUUUUAGUCAAGUUGUUGAUAUUACCAAUUUGUAAUAAUUCUUUGCUAGAUCCAUAAUCUAGAUUAAGGAAUAAUUUAGAGAGAA
This 790-nucleotide long non-coding RNA is filed under the name Capsicum annuum. Its description in RNAcentral is "long non-coding RNA (CANN_LNC017052)". Lineage: Eukaryota; Viridiplantae; Streptophyta; Magnoliopsida; Solanales; Solanaceae. The record is from RNAcentral.